Molecule: ribosomal RNA, 464 nt
Filed under: uncultured bacterium
Lineage: Bacteria
Description: partial 16S ribosomal RNA
Rfam family: Bacterial small subunit ribosomal RNA
Source: RNAcentral
ACGAACGCUGGCGGCGUGCUUAACACCUGCAAGUCGAACGGAAAGGCCCUGCUUGCAGGGUACUCGAGUGGCGAACGGGUGAGUAACACGUGGGUGAUCUGCCCUGCACUUCGGGAUAAGCCUGGGAAACUGGGUCUAAUACCGGAUAGGAGCCAUUUUUAGUGUGAUGGUUGGAAAGUUUUUUCGGUGUAGGAUGAGCUCGCGGCCUAUCAGCUUGUUGGUGGGGUAAUGGCCUACCAAGGCGGCGACGGGUAGCCGGCCUGAGAGGGUGGACGGCCACAUUGGGACUGAGAUACGGCCCAGACUCCUACGGGAGGCAGCAGUGGGGAAUAUUGCACAAUGGGCGCAAGCCUGAUGCAGCGACGCCGCGUGGGGGAUGACGGCCUUCGGGUUGUAAACUCCUUUCGCUAGGGACGAAGCUUUUUGUGACGGUACCUAGAGAAGAAGCACCGGCUAACUACGUG